Molecule: ribosomal RNA, 629 nt
Filed under: Lindholmia christophi
Lineage: Eukaryota; Metazoa; Mollusca; Gastropoda; Stylommatophora; Helicidae
Description: Helix christophi partial small subunit ribosomal RNA
Source: RNAcentral
CGUUUGCUAUAGCCGCUCUUUUACAUAAUGAACCACAUCAUGGAAGUUAGUGUUACUAGGUCCAGUUGUUAAAUUUUAUCAAUCCGUGAAAGCNNNAAUAUGGUCACAUUAUAUUAGAGGUUAAUAACGUGCCAGCAGCCGCGGUCAUACGUUAACUAAAAGUAAAAGUAAUUAGAGCGCUUUAAUUGUCGAUAAACUCAUUUUUAGUGAAAUAAAAUGAGUGUUCCUAAUACCUUCACACUUAUAAAGAUAAUACAAAUGCUGAUACCAAACAGGGAUUAGAUACCCCUUUAUGCAGCGAGCAAAUUAACGUUCUGGGCACUAUAAUUAACAUGGUUAAAACCUACAUGGCAUGGCGGCAGUUGAAAUAUUCAGGGGAUCUUAUGUCAUAAUUGAUAGCCACCAAGUACAUCAACAAUAAGUUAUAUCUUACAUACCGUCGUCGCCAGAUGAACUAAAAUAGCUCAUCGAAAUAUAAAAUUAGAAAAGGACAGAUCAAGGUGUAGAUUAUCUUAUUGCGGUCACGAGAUACUAUGAUAGUUACCCUCACUCACAGGUUUUAACACCCGGGUGUGUCGGACUUGAAAGUAAUACGUAUUAUAAAUACCACAUGAAUCCUCUUCAUCUGU